CUCAGGCUCGUGGCUCCGCCCCCACCCUUUCGGUCAGGUUGAUGGAGUGAAGUAAAGACAGAAGAAGAAGAAGAAGAGUUAUAGCUGUGGAUGUAGCUAACGACCGUGACUACGGAAACACUAUUUAGCUCUACUCCUGUGUUUUAUCACUUUUUAUUGUUGGAUUUAUCUUCUGGUGCUUUUCACUGCUUUUUCACCGCUUUACGGUCCGAGUGGUGUCUCCUUGGCAACAUGAUCAACUGUCCCUGCGAAGUUUGGAUCAAGUGUUUCCCCCUCGGUCGGAGAAUAAACCGGAUAUUUCACCGCUAACGACAGCAUUAACGUGUUUACGGUGCUCACAGGCGGAGGCUGGGCGGCUCUGGAUGGUUUUCACUCCGUUUUUCUAACUUUUUCCACUUCAAACCAAGUGUUUGGGACACCGCGAGACAAUAGUGAUCCGGAUAAUGAAGAAAUCCUGACCUAUGAGGAGAUGGCCUUGUACCACCAGCCAGCCAACAGGAAGCACCCAUCGCACUGAUUGGUCCAACCAGUUGUGGGCAGGCGGAGCUCCGACAGAGGCUGCUCACCAACCAACCAGAGAGGUUUGCUGGAGCUGUGCCUCACACCACACGGAGCAGGCGUGA
Molecule: long non-coding RNA, 623 nt
Filed under: Gouania willdenowi (blunt-snouted clingfish)
Lineage: Eukaryota; Metazoa; Chordata; Actinopteri; Blenniiformes; Gobiesocidae
Description: lncRNA (ENSGWIG00000005686.1)
Source: RNAcentral